CCUCCCAAUAAAUUACCACCAUCUUAAAUAUUUUUUUUUGGGUUCUUUCUUCCUUUUUCUGUGCUGUACUUAGCUAAGGUCUUUUCGGAUUAAGAGGCAACUAGAGAGAAAGCAAAAAACCGAAAACUUGAGGGGAUGCUGAGUGUAAGAGAGACUUUCAAGGUAUUAGGGAAGCAAUCACAGAUGUUGCAGACACACUCAGAGUCAGAGAGAAAAAUGCUUUUAUAAAGAGUGGCCAAGGUCAUGUUGAACAUGGUGUUGACCAGAAGUUACCUUACAGAGCCUACACUUUCCUUAUUGAAGAUGCUGCAAGUGUGAGAAAAUUCUUUGGUUGCCCAAUUAACGAACCCAAGAAAUUUUUUCUACAAAUGAUGUAUGGUCCUCCAGAUCCUCGAUAAGCUUAUGUUAUGGUGGAUGAGACUAGAUCGAAUUUAUGGUUUGGACUGAAAUAUUGUUUCUUGCCAUAUGCUUUUCCUUUAAUUUGUUCAACAAUGUUGUUGUUGUGACUUCCAAGCACUUUUUUUUCAUGGGGUUGGGGGAUUGCUUCUGUUUGUGGAACGAUUUGAUACUACAAAUUGUUGUGGAUGAAAUUGAGGGACUCUUUGAAGUUUGCU
Juglans regia (Persian walnut) is the source of this 614-nucleotide long non-coding RNA. RefSeq lists it as uncharacterized. The record is from RefSeq and is a predicted model, not a curated record. The transcript has 2 exons. Lineage: Eukaryota; Viridiplantae; Streptophyta; Magnoliopsida; Fagales; Juglandaceae.